AGGGAGAAAGUGAGGGAACACUGCAACUGAAUAUGGGUCAUGUGCCAGUUUUCUGUAAUGGAAUUGGAUUUUGGAAGAAGGUCUGGGAUUUUUUUUGUCCUCGUGAGAAGGGAGUUGGGAGACACCGAGUUCCGUCCAAUCAGUCAUAUAGAUAAAAAAUAGUGUGAUAUGAAAUUUGGCUUGUAGACCGACUUAGUUAGUAAGUCAUGGGUCAUCUGUUCUGACUGGAGCUCAAUUGCAAGUCUUUCAAGUCAUGGGUCACCCAGCACCACAUAAUUAUGAUAUGACCAAAUUAGAUUUGCUUAAAUUUUUUCUCAAAAGCACAAAAAAAUUGGACCCGAUC
This 343-nucleotide long non-coding RNA is filed under the name Phoenix dactylifera (date palm). RNAcentral's name for it is "long non-coding RNA (PDAC_LNC022140)". Lineage: Eukaryota; Viridiplantae; Streptophyta; Magnoliopsida; Arecales; Arecaceae. The record is from RNAcentral.